UUAAAAGAUUAUUCAAUCCUUCAAGAGUUAACAAAAUGAUGAAAUCAUUAAUUUACACCGCUAUUCUUCUGGUGACAGUUUUCAUCGCUGAAAGCUAUUGUCAUCGUGUCUGUGAUGCGGACUGUGUCGGUGGAUGUGUAGCACUUCAAGAAGUAUUCACUUUCUUGAACUUGGCAUAUUUUAAAGAAUUUUGUGCUGCUUUAUGUAUAGAUCUAUGAGUGUCAGAAUAAACGCACAAUGAAUACCUAACAAGUCAA
Dalotia coriaria is the source of this 257-nucleotide long non-coding RNA. RefSeq lists it as uncharacterized. The record is from RefSeq and is a predicted model, not a curated record. The transcript is spliced from 2 exons. Lineage: Eukaryota; Metazoa; Arthropoda; Insecta; Coleoptera; Staphylinidae.